GGAAGUGUAUCGAAGUGGUCAUAACGGCCCUGACUCGAAAUCAGGUAGCGGGGUAACUCGCUCGUGGGUUCGAAUCCCACCGCUUCCGCCA
This 91-nucleotide transfer RNA is filed under the name Clostridia bacterium. RNAcentral describes it as "tRNA-Ser". It matches the Rfam family "tRNA". From Rfam's summary of the family: Transfer RNA (tRNA) molecules are approximately 80 nucleotides in length. Their secondary structure includes four short double-helical elements and three loops (D, anti-codon, and T loops). The record is from RNAcentral. Lineage: Bacteria; Bacillati; Bacillota; Clostridia.